GGAGGGGUGGCCGAGCGGUCAAAGGCAACAGACUGUAAAUCUGUCGGGUUUUCCCUACGUAGGUUCGAAUCCUACCCCCUCCA
Molecule: transfer RNA, 83 nt
Filed under: Roseospirillum parvum
Lineage: Bacteria; Pseudomonadati; Pseudomonadota; Alphaproteobacteria; Rhodospirillales; Rhodospirillaceae
Rfam family: tRNA
About the family: Transfer RNA (tRNA) molecules are approximately 80 nucleotides in length. Their secondary structure includes four short double-helical elements and three loops (D, anti-codon, and T loops).
Source: Rfam by way of RNAcentral